AUACGUAGGGUGCGAGCGUUGUCCGGAAUUACUGGGCGUAAAGAGCUCGUAGGUGGUUUGUCGCGUCGUCUGUGAAAUUCCGGGGCUUAACUCCGGGCGUGCAGGCGAUACGGGCAUAACUUGAGUACUGUAGGGGAGACUGGAAUUCCUGGUGUAGCGGUGAAAUGCGCAGAUAUCAGGAGGAACACCGGGGGCGAAGGCGGGUCUCGGGGCAGUAACUGACGCUGAGGAGCGAAAGCAGGGGUAGCGAACAGGAUUAGAUACCCUGGUAUACCAUGCCGUAAACGGUGGGCGCUAGGUGUAGGGGUCUUCCACGACUUCUGUGCCGUAGCUAACGCAUUAAGCGCCCCGCCUGGGGAGUACGGCCGCAAGGCUAAAACUCAAAGGAAUUGACGGGG
Molecule: ribosomal RNA, 398 nt
Filed under: uncultured bacterium
Lineage: Bacteria
Description: partial 16S ribosomal RNA
Rfam family: Bacterial small subunit ribosomal RNA
Source: RNAcentral